UUGGAAGUGAACUUUGUAGCUAGCUUUCCCAUUUUUGAACUUGAAGUCAAGAACGAAAAGAGUAGCCUAUCUUUUUCUUCUGAAGUAGGAUACUACCGACGAGCUCGGGAUGAACUAGAUCUAGAUCCAUGAGAUCUAAAUAGACGCCAUUGGCAUUACUGAAACGUCUCGGUACUGUCUAGACUCUGGAGGAGGAGAGAACUUCGGAAUCUAUGGCAUUAUUAAUUCAUUCACCAAGUUAUUUAAGAAGAUACUGGAGAGAGACUUUGAUCAAAGAGUUUACCAAGUAGUUAGUACUGAGACAUGCAACAUCUACUCCUAAAAGGUACAAGGGAAGAAAACUGUAGUUUCCGAAGGAGAUAAUUCUCUCAUCAUGUUUCCAGCUUCAUCAUCAUUCUCUGUACAUGUAUAUUCUCAAGUUCAUCACUUUGUUUUACAGCAUGGAUUGAUACGUACAUGUAUAACAGAUGAUAUGCUGAAGAUGAUGGAAGUGAUGAGGAGGAGAUAGAGGAAGAGGAGGAGACUAAAGAAGGAAAGAAGGAAAUUGAAUCAUUACCAGAAGUAAGUACAACCCUUAAUGUACAUGUAUGCAUGUCCAUGCUUGUGUGUACCAUAAAUUUUGCUCAAGUAAACAUACAUCUUCUUUGCUACCACCACAUGUUUUUUCGAGGGAAUUAUAUUUUACGAAAUCUGCUGACAAUCCAAUUUGUGGAUUUUAAUUUUGCAAAUUCUAUCACAUGUGAUGCAGCUCAAGAAUUGUAAUCACACUGAUGAAGAUAGUUGUAGAUGAGUCAUAAUUGAAGCUGCUGCCUCUAAACUCUCUGCAGUUGCUUCCCCUUCUCUGAUAAGUUUAGUUGCUGCUCUUGGACAGACUAGCAAGAUAUUGUCAGCCAUUGCAGCUUUACUGAUAGGACCUGUUGAUGUAUAAUGGACACUAUUUAAAAGUACCAGACAUAUUAAGGUCAUUACAAGUAUCAGUAAAAGCUGUUCUUAUUGGUUCACCUUAUGAUACUGACUGGUUUGAUCAAGGGAUAAAAAAUAAGAGUCUUGUUGAAUGGUUACUACCAGGACUGGAACAUAAGCCAUCCUCUUCAUCUCUUGUUGGGUCUAUUGCUACUGAUUUUAAGUAUCCAUAUGUUCAUGGUAGCUUUGGGUUGAUGAAGAUUGGAUCUGGUUAUGGUAAUACUGUGAAGGUUGGAUGGUGAUGAGUAGGAGUGUCUCAGUGGGAGGAGUCUGUGCAUUGAUACAAAGUAUAAUGUACUGUAGAGUUUUGAUGAGAGCAGCUUUGAAAUAAUUAUGUUGUUAUGAUUCUGUUGCAGCUGAAGCUAAAGAUUUAGAGGGUACUAUUAAGUCCUUCAUUACAUGUACAUGUAUGUCUCCCUCAGUCUAAAGGUUCUAUCAUCAUGUGGUUCCAUGCUUCAAUGAAUCUCUUAUCAUCAUUACACACUCUCCACUAUUGUAGGAAGGUGAAGUCUGCCUCUGUUGACGACUAUCUCAUUGUCUCAAGAGUUAAUUCUAUGGUGGGGGGUGGGGUGACAAUGCUGGAUUGAUAGAAACAGUUUUAAUAGUUUAGUCGUGAUCAAGACAUACUCCUUGGUGGGUUUUGCCGGUUUGGAGGGCCUGGUCAAUGCAACGUUGAAGUCAAAUCUGUACUGAAAGGUCAUUGGAAAGACUAUGCCAAGUCAGCCAUUGGACAAGCUGUCCUCUAUUUAACUAUAAAAUUAAUGAAGAAGCAUGUAAUGCUGACCCAGGAAUGUAC
RNAcentral lists this long non-coding RNA (1759 nucleotides) under Amphimedon queenslandica. RNAcentral describes it as "uncharacterized LOC109584156, transcript variant X3". Lineage: Eukaryota; Metazoa; Porifera; Demospongiae; Haplosclerida; Niphatidae. The record is from RNAcentral.